Non-coding RNA from Coturnix japonica (Japanese quail), 3495 nucleotides. NCBI's taxonomy places the organism in Eukaryota, Metazoa, Chordata, Aves, Galliformes, Phasianidae. The record is from RefSeq and is a predicted model, not a curated record.
ACAGCGCCCCGCUCCGAGCUCCCUGCUGCCCCGCUCCGGUACCGAGAACAGAAAGGCCACGGCCCGCCUCCGUACUGUGCGCCUUUUAUUGAGUUCAAUCAUUCGGUGCAAGGUACAGCCAUCGGCACGUCACAACCCGUGCCCGGCGCCCCCCGGUCGCUACCCGCGCUCCUUCAGGCGCGGCCCCUACAGCGGGUCCGGACCCCCCGGCUGAGCUCACCUCAGCUCGGCCAGUGCAUCCAGCCGGCGGACACAGCUACGGGAUGUGUGUGCAAGGAGUGCAAAGCGAUGUGACAGCACAUCUACUGGCUUUACAUAGACUGUGAGCAUUCAAAGCAGUGGCUGUGUACUGCAGAGAGCAGGACUGCAAUUGCCUGUGACCCAUGGCUCAGCUGAGUGUAGCACAACAGUGUGGGCUUACUCUGAACAUGCACAGAAAAUGUCCUAAUACCGGAAACAAUUUGCCUGUGCAGUGAGGAGGAGGAGUUGCAAAUGGACUUGUACCUCUAAGGCCUGUUGUGGAGUGGUUUUCCAAGUACUUCCAAGGCUGCCUUCAAGACUCAGUCACCUGAUGCUGAACUGGAUACAACCUGAGCCAAAUGUCAGCACAGCUUUUUAGCUGGACUGCAGAGGAAGGUAACUGGUGGGGAUAUUGGGAAAUGUUGAGGAGUUGCGCAGAAUGUAUAGGGGUGAUGGUAUCUGCCACAUCUUCUGUUGUGUUUGCUCCAUGCACCUCAGCACGCAUCCCUGCUCUUUGGUUUUGUAUUGCUACACUCCAGCACUUCAUAACUAGUGCUUCUGAAGGAACAGGCACAUAGAACAGGCAUCUGUUGGGUAUAUCCCAGGGAUACAGCCCAAGCAAGCCUUGCCUUGCCUUGCCUUGCCUUAUGGCAUGGUGACUUUUCCCACCUAUUAGCUGUAAUGUGGCCUGAUUAAACGCUUCCCCAGAUCCCUCUGUUUUCAGAGGGCUUGCAUCAAGCAGCAGGGGGGACAGUCUACCCUACUGCCUGAAGGGGCAGGGAAGUUCUGGCUGCUUUGUGAAUCCUAGUGCUCCACAGUGGGAAGAUCUGUGGUCCCCAUCGAGAUGGUCCUUGUCCAUACCAUCCUACAUGCAGGCAGAGUUAAUGCAAGUGAGGGACACCUGAGUGCUGAUAGACAUGGAGGCUGCUUGGAGCCAUAGCUACAGCUCUGCCAGUGACUGCAGCAGGGCAAGCUGGGAGCAUCUCCAAAGGCUGUCAGCUCUGCUCGGGCCUGGUGUCUCAUUGCCAAACAGGUGGUACCUGCAAAUCCUGUCAGGUCAACUGCCACAAGCACUGUUUCCAAAUGGCAAGUCCAAACACAAGGCACAAGGUUACUGAUAGCAAUCUGCCUUCAGGCUUACUAGUUUUUAUCCUUGGAGCAACAGACUCAGAGGAAGGCACAGCUGCAGUCCCCUCCUCUGGAUGUUACUGGUAUUGUAGCGGCACAUCUGUGAACAGGGGUUUACUAGAGAAAUAUGAUAAACAACGUAUGUAGACAGGUCAUAUGCAGCCAUUUCCCUGCUCACAUGGAAGGACUCAAAUACAAGAGUACAUCAGUCAGAUACCCUGCACUUAGGGGUAUGUGUCUUGCAAAAGAAAUUCAUGGAACAGCUCAGGGAACUAUUAAAUGGCACAGCCACUUAACAAUUGCAAAACAGAGUUCAGUUUGUCACUAGGUCUAAAGUCCUCAAUAGCAUAUGUCUACAAAUAUCUAAGGUGUGGGAGGCAAAGGGAUGAGGCCAGACUCUUUUCAGUGGUGUGUGGUGAUAGGACAAGGGGAAACAGCCACAAACUGAAGCACAGGAAGUUCUGCACAAAUGUACAUAAGAACUUCUUCACGGUAAGGGUGACGGAGCACUGGAACAAGCUGACCAGGGGUACUGUGGAGUCUCCUCUGGAGAUAUUCAAGACCUGCUCGGACGCCUACCUGUGCAACCUGGUCUAGGGAGCCUGCUUUGCAGGGGGCUUGGACUAGAUCAUCUCUAGAGGUCCGUUCCAGUCCCUACAGUUCUGUGACUCUGUGAUCUAGGCAUCUCAUUAUUUUUCUCAGUGGAAGUCAGAGUGGUUAAUGUGACCAGAAGACCACUGCACAUCAAGUAAUCAGUGGUCCACAAUACAACUAACCUGAGUGCAACCAGCCCUGUGCCACACUGCACACACAGCACAGCAUCCAGGCCUUCUAGCUGCAGGACUCGCUCGGUCAGCUGUUCUUAUCUAGAGAAGCCUGUGAGUAGCUCCCAUUCAGUACUGGCGAGUAUGCUGCCUGCGUGGCCUUGCCUGUACAGUAGAAUUGGAGAAUACUUUGAGUUGGAAGGGAGCCACAGGGAGCAUGGAUUUCAUCUCCUGGCUCCACACACGAUCAUGCAAAAUUCAAACCACAUUUCUGAGCACUGUCCAGACAUUUCUUGAAUGCUGGCAGGCCUAGUGCUGACCACUGCCUGUGCCAGAGCCUGGCCACCCUCUGGUGAAGAACUUUUUCCUGACACCCAACCUAUCUCUCCCUGACACAGGCCCAUGUCAUUCCCUCAGGUCCUGUCACUGUCACCAGAGAUCAGAGCUGCCCAUCCAUUGCCCCUGUGUGGACCUAUAGGCCACCACAAGGCCUCCCCUCAGCCCUCUGCCCUGGGCUGAACAAACUGUGGGACCUCAGCCACUCUUCAUGUCUUCCCCUCUAGACUCUUCACCAUCUGGGUACCCUUCCUUUGGACUUGUAAGAGUUUUACAGCCUAUAUUAUGGUGCCCAAAUCUGCACACAGAGGUCAAGGUGAGACCACGCUAGAACAGAGCAGAGCAAGACAAUCCCUCCCCUCACGUGGCUUGCAGUGCUGGGCUUGGUGUAUCCCAAGGUACGGUUGGCCCCUUUGGCUGCCAGAGCAUGCUGUUGACUCAUAUUCAACUUGCCAUCAGCCAGAACACCCAGAUCCCUUUCCACAGGGCUGUUCUCCAGCCUCUCGUUCCCCAGUCUGUACAUACAGCCAGGGUUGCCCCAUCUGAGGUGCAGAAUUCAGCACUUGCUUGUUAAAUUUAAUGUGGCUGGUGAUUGCCCAGCCCUCUAAUUUGUCAAGAUCUCUUUUUAAGGCCUCUCCACCCUCAAGAGAAUCAACAGUUCCUCCCAAUUUAUUACCAACAGCAAGUAUUUUGUUAGAUAUUAACAGUGCAGCAAGUUUGAAUGCACACAUCACUUCUGCUUGAUUGUAAAUAUGAUAAAUGGAGCGGUUUUCCUUAAGAAAAUCCAGUAAUAAGUUGAAUGACCAACAGAGAAGGAUAUGUGCUAUGUGCUAUCUGCAUGGCAUUGUGUACAUGGGUCAGAGUCCUGUCCGAUGCUCAGUAUCUAAAGGGAUCAGUGCUCUUAAUGUUAGCUCUAAUAGCAUUUUUAAAUUAAGAUCUCACCAAGUCUUAGUCUCACUGGGAUCAUAACCAACCAGCACCUCCCACUGCAAAUACAGUGACCACCACCAAAUACACAUGUAAGUAA